GGUCACUCUGCUGUUUCAAGGACUUGUCAAUGGGCUGUAGGCAGUUGCUGAAGGUGGAAGGUCUCAUCUUCUGUAGCUUCUUGCUGCUGAGAAGGGGUGUAGAGAUGUCCCUACCUACAUGGGUCAGUAUUGGUCAGGUGGGGAAUGCAUGAAGGAAUCAACGAAAAGCAGAGGCAGCUGAAUCCAACAUGGACAGUAAGGUGGUAUCUCUGUGGGUAAGGAUCGUCUGUCAUCGAGAAGCCAUUGCAGCAAUGGAAUCUCUGCACCAAGCAAAAGGACACGGGAGAAAACAGCAAAACAUAACUAGAAUAACUAGAAAGAUUAGCUCGAAUAAAAGUUCUUUACUAGUUGACAAGAA
Leopardus geoffroyi (Geoffroy's cat) is the source of this 358-nucleotide long non-coding RNA. RefSeq lists it as uncharacterized. The transcript has 2 exons. NCBI's taxonomy places the organism in Eukaryota, Metazoa, Chordata, Mammalia, Carnivora, Felidae. The record is from RefSeq and is a predicted model, not a curated record.